Non-coding RNA from Podarcis lilfordi (Lilford's wall lizard), 123 nucleotides. The record is from the annotation of a GenBank genome assembly. NCBI's taxonomy places the organism in Eukaryota, Metazoa, Chordata, Lepidosauria, Squamata, Lacertidae.
UGAUGGCCAAACUUGGCCCUCCAGCUGUUUUUGGUCUACAAUUCCCAUCAUCCUUGGUCCUGUUAGCUAGGGAUGAUGGGAGUUGUAGUCCAAAAACAGCUGGAGGGCCAAGUUUGGCCAUCA